This 1022-nucleotide ribosomal RNA is filed under the name Tetraploa oryzae. RNAcentral describes it as "SSU rRNA". It matches the Rfam family "Eukaryotic small subunit ribosomal RNA", at positions 75 to 1102 of the family's 1831-position model. Lineage: Eukaryota; Fungi; Ascomycota; Dothideomycetes; Pleosporales; Tetraplosphaeriaceae. The record is from RNAcentral.
UAUACCGUGAAACUGCGAAUGGCUCAUUAAAUCAGUUAUCGUUUAUUUGAUAGUACCUACCAACUACUUGGAUAACCGUGGUAAUUCUAGAGCUAAUACAUGCUAAAAACCCCGACUUCGGGAGGGGUGUAUUUAUUAGAUAAAAAACCAAUGCCCCUCGGGGCUUCUUGGUGAUUCAUGAUAACUUAACGGAUCGCAUGGCCUUGCGCCGGCGACGGUUCAUUCAAAUUUCUGCCCUAUCAACUUUCGAUGGUAAGGUAUUGGCUUACCAUGGUUUCAACGGGUAACGGGGAAUUAGGGUUCGAUUCCGGAGAGGGAGCCUGAGAAACGGCUACCACAUCCAAGGAAGGCAGCAGGCGCGCAAAUUACCCAAUCCCGACACGGGGAGGUAGUGACAAUAAAUACUGAUACAGGGCUCUUUUGGGUCUUGUAAUCGGAAUGAGUACAAUUUAAACCCCUUAACGAGGAACAAUUGGAGGGCAAGUCUGGUGCCAGCAGCCGCGGUAAUUCCAGCUCCAAUAGCGUAUAUUAAAGUUGUUGCAGUUAAAAAGCUCGUAGUUGAACCUUGGGCCUGGCUGGCCGGUCCGCCUCACCGCGUGUACUGGUCCGGCCGGGCCUUUCCUUCUGGAGAGCCGCAUGCCCUUCACUGGGUGUGUCGGGGAACCAGGACUUUUACUUUGAAAAAAUUAGAGUGUUCAAAGCAGGCCUUUGCUCGAAUACGUUAGCAUGGAAUAAUAGAAUAGGACGUGCGGUCCUAUUUUGUUGGUUUCUAGGACCGCCGUAAUGAUUAAUAGGGAUAGUCGGGGGCAUCAGUAUUCAAUUGUCAGAGGUGAAAUUCUUGGAUUUAUUGAAGACUAACUACUGCGAAAGCAUUUGCCAAGGAUGUUUUCAUUAAUCAGUGAACGAAAGUUAGGGGAUCGAAGACGAUCAGAUACCGUCGUAGUCUUAACCGUAAACUAUGCCGACUAGGGAUCGGGCGAUGUUUCUAUCUUGACUCGCUCGGCACCUUACGAGAAAUCAAA